CCGGCGCACGGGUGAGUAACACGUACCCAACCUGCCGUCUACUCUUGGACAGCCUUCUGAAAGGAAGAUUAAUACAAGAUGGCAUCAUGAGUUCACAUGUUCACAUGAUUAAAGGUAUUCCGGUAGACGAUGGGGAUGCGUUCCAUUAGAUAGUAGGUGGGGUAACGGCCCACCUAGUCUUCGAUGGAUAGGGGUUCUGAGAGGAAGGUCCCCCACAUUGGAACUGAGACACGGUCCAA
Molecule: ribosomal RNA, 239 nt
Filed under: uncultured bacterium
Lineage: Bacteria
Description: partial 16S ribosomal RNA
Rfam family: Bacterial small subunit ribosomal RNA
Source: RNAcentral